Molecule: ribosomal RNA, 468 nt
Filed under: uncultured bacterium
Lineage: Bacteria
Description: partial 16S ribosomal RNA
Rfam family: Bacterial small subunit ribosomal RNA
Source: RNAcentral
GACGAACGCUGGCGGCGUGCUUAACACAUGCAAGUCGAACGGAAAGGCCCUGCUUUUGUGGGGUGCUCGAGUGGCGAACGGGUGAGUAACACGUGAGUAACCUGCCCUUGACUUUGGGAUAACUUCAUAAAACUGGGUCUAAUACCGGAUAGGAGCUCCUGCUGCUUGGUGGGGGUUGGAUAGUUUCGGCGGUUGGGGAUGGACUCGCGGCUUAUCAGCUUGUUGGUGGGGUAGUGGAUUACCAAGGCUUUGACGGGUAGCCGGCCUGAGCGGGUGACCGGCCAAAUUGGGACGGAGAUACGGCACAGACUCCUACGGGAGGGAGCAGUGGGGAAUAUUGCACAAUGGGCGGAAGCCUGAUGCAGCAACGCCGCGUGCGGGAUGACGGCCUUCGGGUUGUAAACCGCUUUCGCCUGUGACGAAGCGUGAGUGACGGUAAUGGGUAAAGAAGCACCGGCUAACUACGUG